UAUGUGCUGCAGAGCUGUCAAUCAUCCUCAGAGGCCUCAUCAGCGUGCAGCAGUGGCUGAUGGGAGUUUAAGAGCUCCGUCUGAUCGUCCUGGUUCGUCCUCACUUCUCGUCAGCUUCACCAGAGGAAACACAGAAUGAUUCUCCUGUCAGCUGUGGCUCUGUGCUGUGUGUGCUCAGCUCUGGUUACCACGGCAGCAAAGCUCCAACAGCCCCGUUUAUCACUGACCAGGAACGUUGGAGAAGAAGUCUCCAUCAGCUGUGAAGACUUCAGCCAGUGUUAUAACAAUGAAAAAUGAUUUCACAUCUGUGACCAGACAAAUCCGCGUUGACCUGCAGAUCAGGAGUGUUAAACUCUCUCAUUCAGCCACCUACUACUGCGCCUGUUAUAAACGAGUC
This is a long non-coding RNA of Cheilinus undulatus (humphead wrasse), 397 nucleotides long. RefSeq lists it as uncharacterized. NCBI's taxonomy places the organism in Eukaryota, Metazoa, Chordata, Actinopteri, Labriformes, Labridae. The transcript has 3 exons. The record is from RefSeq and is a predicted model, not a curated record.